GUGCUCUGACAUUAGCAAUUGUUUUGCUCUACUGAAGAUGCUAGGCGGAGGUGCCAUUUUCAGCGGGUGGGUGCCUUUCGAUUCGUCAGUCAUUCAGAGGAUUUCACCUGAAGCAAGGAAGGUAAUCAAUAUUUUUCAUCCCUGUUUCCCUUUCCUUUAGCUUAAUGCACAAACACAACCUUAAGGUGUGAGCAAGCAUAAAUGUUGAGGUUGAUGAAAAUUGCUGAACAACAAGAGAUGUAGCUGAUGAUGUUUGCUCUCUUGGGUUCUUGUUGUUGUCUUUUGAUUUGAAAGAACUUUUCGUAUGCAUGAACAAACACUGCUGGAACCUCUACAUGCGUUGGCAUGGCCAUACCUAGGAACCAUCAGGUGAUAAGUAUUAAGUAUUUCUCUUAUUCGAGUUGGAUUACAUAUACACCUAAAACAAAACCAUUUAAAUUGCACUGGCUAUGGAUUGAUGUGUUUCAGUGAGCAAUCUGGAUAAUUAUGUAAGACAUUGAAUUGUAGCGCUAAAUUUUUCCAGCACUUGACUUAUUUGGAUGUUAUCAUAUGAAAUUCACUGUCUGAACUUUACGUAUUCCUAAGUAUGUACUUCAGAUUUAAUAUUCACAGUUCCCUCCUAAACAUCAAAUAUUGCAAUAUGCCUAUUAUGGCGCAGCCUUACCUAUCAAUUUGGGUGCCAGUAGAAUUAAGUCAAGUAGGAAAAAAAUGUGACCCUGCGGCUCCAUCUUAGGACUUAGGAUAGGAAAAAUGUUAUUUUACAAAUUCAAUAGAACAUUGCACAAUGGAAGUUAAAUUACGCACGUAAUCUCAUAUUUUAGCCAAUCAAGUAUUAUGUUUAUUUACACAAUAAUGAUGAUAGCAUAAAUCCUUGUGGGUGAUUUACAAUAUUUGAAUGAAAUCAGGCAGACUGCAGUCACUUGUCAGACUUGCUGAAAAAACUAACCCAAUAGAUUAAGGAAAGUAGUGGCCUCGUAGUUAUUCAACCUUGAAGAAUGUUAGAUGGACCAUCUGGUCUCUGCUGUAAGAAUAUAAUUUUGAAAGAAAUUUGGAUUCUUAAUAUGGUCUAGCUGACAGAACGGUAUUAUUUGAAGAUGGUCAAGCUGGUCCACCAUUUUUGCAAAGUGCAGGUGUUAAUUGUGAAUUUAAGGCAUAUCCAGAUCUUGGUCACUCAAUUUCCCAGGAUGAGCUGCAAUAUCUUGAGUCCUGGAUCAGAAGUCGUCUUAAGGCCUCUCAGGAGAAGGACGGUUAAUUUAGUCCGCCAUCGCUUCCCCAGUAUAGCAACUUGGCGAAUGCCGCCAUGUUUGUAUUCAAUCUCAUAUUUUAGCUAAUGGUUCCUUGUGGUUAGAUUUCGUUUCCCGUGGCUGAUAGCUGAUACAUAUGGAAAACAUUAUUGAGGCAUAAAACUCUAGGUGUAUGCAGUUGUCUUUAGCAUCUUUACUUAAUUUUGAGCAUUGCCAUUUUCUUCU
This is a long non-coding RNA of Phragmites australis (common reed), 1469 nucleotides long. RefSeq lists it as uncharacterized. The transcript is spliced from 2 exons. NCBI's taxonomy places the organism in Eukaryota, Viridiplantae, Streptophyta, Magnoliopsida, Poales, Poaceae. The record is from RefSeq and is a predicted model, not a curated record.